CCUACGGGGGGCAGCAGUGAGGAAUAUUGGUCAAUGGACGCAAGUCUGAACCAGCCAUGCCGCGUGCGGGAAGACGGCUCUAUGGGUUGUAAGCUGCUUUUGUAGGGGGGAAAACGCUGAUGCGCGUAUCCUUCUGAAUGUAUCUUACGAAUAAGGAUCGGCUAACUUCGUGCCAGCAGCCGCGGUAAGACGUAGGGGGCGAGCGUUAUCCGGAUUGACUGGGUGUAAAGGGAGCGUAGACGGCCGGGCAAGCCAGGAGUGAAAGCCCGGGGCUCAACCCCGGGACUGCUCUUGGAACUGGGAGGCUGGAGUGUGGGAGGGGCAGGCGGAAUUCCUGGUGUAGCGGUGAAAUGCGUAGAUAUCAGGAGGAACACCGGUGGCGAAGGCGGCCCGCUGGACCGAGACUGACGCUGAGGUGCGAAAGCGUGGGGAGCGAACAGGAUUAGAUACCCUAGUAGUC
This 460-nucleotide ribosomal RNA is filed under the name uncultured bacterium. Its description in RNAcentral is "partial 16S ribosomal RNA". It matches the Rfam family "Bacterial small subunit ribosomal RNA", at positions 338 to 795 of the family's 1533-position model. The record is from RNAcentral.